CCUGGCGGCGGCCUACACAUGCAAGUCGAGCGAGACCUUCGGGUCUAGCGGCGGACGGGUUAGUAACGCGUGGGAAUAUACCCUUCACUACGGAAUAGCCUCGGGAAACUGGGAGUAAUACCGUAUACGCCCUUUUGGGGAAAGAUUUAUCGGUGAAGGAUUAGCCCGCGUCUGAUUAGAUAGUUGGUGGGGUAAUGGCCUACCAAGUCUACGAUCAGUAGCUGGUUUGAGAGGAUGAUCAGCAACACUGGGACUGAGACACGGCCCAGACUCCUACGGGAGGCGGCAGUGGGGAAUCUUAGACAAUGGGCGCAAGCCUGAUCUAGCCAUGCCGCGUGAGUGACGAAGGCCUUAGGGUCGUAAAGCUCUUUCGCCAGAGAUGAUAAUGACAGUAUCUGGUAAAGAAACCCCGGCUAACUCCGUGCCAGCAGCCGCGGUAAUACGGAGGGGGUUAGCGUUGUUCGGAAUUACUGGGCGUAAAGCGCACGUAGGCGGAUUGGAAAGUAUGGGGUGAAAUCCCAGGGCUCAACCCUGGAACUGCCUUGUAAACUCCCAGUCUAGAGUUCGAGAGAGGUGAGUGGAAUUCCAAGUGUAGAGGUGAAAUUCGUAGAUAUUUGGAGGAACACCAGUGGCGAANGCGGCUCACUGGCUCGAUACUGACGCUGAGGUGCGAAAGUGUGGGGAGCAAACAGGAUUAGAUACCCUGGUAGUCCACACCGUAAACGAUGAAUGCCAGACGUCAGGGGGCUUGCCCUUUGGUGUCACACCUNACGGAUAAGCAUUCCGCCUGGGGAGUACGGUCGCAAGAUNAAACUCAA
This 818-nucleotide ribosomal RNA is filed under the name uncultured bacterium. RNAcentral's name for it is "bacterial SSU rRNA". It matches the Rfam family "Bacterial small subunit ribosomal RNA", at positions 35 to 904 of the family's 1533-position model. The record is from RNAcentral.